RNAcentral lists this ribosomal RNA (301 nucleotides) under uncultured bacterium. RNAcentral's name for it is "partial 16S ribosomal RNA". It matches the Rfam family "Bacterial small subunit ribosomal RNA", at positions 509 to 807 of the family's 1533-position model. The record is from RNAcentral.
CAGCCGCCGCGGUAACACGUAGGGUGCAAGCGUUAAUCGGAAUUACUGGGCGUAAAGCGUGCGCAGGCGGUCCGCUAAGACAGAUGUGAAAUCCCCGGGCUUAACCUGGGAACUGCAUUUGUGACUGGCGGGCUAGAGUAUGGCAGAGGGGGGUAGAAUUCCACGUGUAGCAGUGAAAUGCGUAGAGAUGUGGAGGAACACCAACGGCGAAAGCACUCUGCUGGGCCGACACUGACACUGAGAGACGAAAGCUAGGGGAGCAAAUGGGAUUAGAGACCCCCGUAGUCCCUGUCUCUUAUAC